CAGCAGCCGCGGUAAUACGUAGGGUGCGAGCGUUAAUCGGAAUUACUGGGCGUAAAGCGUGCGCAGGCGGUUAUAUAAGACAGAUGUGAAAUCCCCGGGCUCAACCUGGGACCUGCAUUUGUGACUGUAUAGCUAGAGUACGGUAGAGGGGGAUGGAAUUCCGCGUGUAGCAGUGAAAUGCGUAGAUAUGCGGAGGAACACCGAUGGCGAAGGCAAUCCCCUGGACCUGUACUGACGCUCAUGCACGAAAGCGUGGGGAGCAAACAGGAUUAGAUACCCCAGUAGUCCCUGUCUCUUAUAA
This 301-nucleotide ribosomal RNA is filed under the name uncultured bacterium. Its description in RNAcentral is "partial 16S ribosomal RNA". It matches the Rfam family "Bacterial small subunit ribosomal RNA", at positions 509 to 809 of the family's 1533-position model. The record is from RNAcentral.